CUCUCGGUUUACUCUCGUUCUACACUUUCUAGCAUCUACACUUUCUUCUACACUUGUUAUGGCAUCCAAAUCAACAUCAUCCUUUGGUUUCGGUUCUUCCUCCACCACAUUCGUUACUAUUCCACAUAAUCAGAACAAGGAAAUUUGAUGCAACUGGGAUUCAAUGGAAAUGAAUGCUCGUUGCAAGUUUUGUGGCUCUUUGUUAAAAAGUAAUUCAAACACUACUUUGAAUAAGCAUAGCAAAUGUUGUAAGGCAUAAAAAGAAACUUCAACAUCGGAUGCCAGACAACCUAAAUUGGGCGGUGAUUGGUACUAUAUUCCGUUACGACCCCGAUGCGUUUCGGGAUAGAAUGACGAAGUUGGUGAUUCAAGAAGCUUUAUCGUUCAACCACUUAGAAAACACUCAGUUGACAUCAAUGAUUAGAGAGGCACUUCAACCUCGUUACAUUCACGAAUGAAGCUCAAGUACUAGUAGUAGCUCGAUACGGCACCCGACUAUGACUAUGUUGAAUGUUGUCUGGGAUGUGUCGGCAAAACGUCAAAGGGUGACACCCCAACAAGUGAUCUUGGUAGGUACAGUGCAUCAGAUUUCGUAUGGACUAUGUCUACCGAAGAUUAUCACAACUUGGAAAUUUUGGCUUGGUGGAAAGGGAAGGAAACCGAAUUUCCGAUUCUAUCCUCCAUGGCCCGUGAUUUACUAACUGUCCAAGCUUCUAUGGUAGUUUCAUAAUUUGUUUUUUUUCUCUUAGUGGCAGGGUAUUGGCGCUACGAAGAACAAGACUCACUCCCGAAUCAAUGGCGAUACUCAUUUGCCUAAAAGAUCAUUUGGAUGCAGUGGAUCAUAUAUAAGACAAGACAACCCUUGAACAAUGGUGAAAAUGUUUUCAUGUGUUUGUGAAGUGUUAAUAAUAAAUAGAAAACGAUUUUUUUGUUUUA
Helianthus annuus (common sunflower) is the source of this 936-nucleotide long non-coding RNA. RefSeq lists it as uncharacterized. NCBI's taxonomy places the organism in Eukaryota, Viridiplantae, Streptophyta, Magnoliopsida, Asterales, Asteraceae. The record is from RefSeq and is a predicted model, not a curated record. The transcript is spliced from 2 exons.